This 76-nucleotide microRNA precursor is filed under the name Bombyx mori (domestic silkworm). RNAcentral's name for it is "mir-2774 microRNA precursor family". It matches the Rfam family "mir-2774 microRNA precursor family". The record is from Rfam by way of RNAcentral. Lineage: Eukaryota; Metazoa; Arthropoda; Insecta; Lepidoptera; Bombycidae.
AAAACACUCGGAUCGUUGGUCUACCUGGUCUACCGAGCAAUAUCACCCGCUCGAUGGAAGAUCUUCCUUUCGUCGU